CUACCCUUGACAUGUCCAGAACCCUGCAGAGAUGCGGGGGUGCCCGAAAGGGAAUUGGAACACAGGUGCUGCAUGGCUGUCGUCAGCUCGUGUCGUGAGAUGUUGGGUUAAGUCCCGCAACGAGCGCAACCCUUAUCAUUAGUUGCUACGCAAGGGCACUCUAAUGAGACUGCCGGUGACAAACCGGAGGAAGGUGGGGAUGACGUCAAGUCCUCAUGGCCCUUAUGGGUAGGGCUUCACACGUCAUACAAUGGUCGGUACAGAGGGUUGCCAAGCCGCGAGGUGGAGCCAAUCCCAGAAAGCCGAUCGUAGUCCGGAUUGUUCUCUGCAACUCGAGAGCAUGAAGUCGGAAUCGCUAGUAAUCGCGGAUCAGCAUGUCGCGGUGAAUACGUUCCC
RNAcentral lists this ribosomal RNA (396 nucleotides) under uncultured bacterium. Its description in RNAcentral is "bacterial SSU rRNA". It matches the Rfam family "Bacterial small subunit ribosomal RNA", at positions 975 to 1375 of the family's 1533-position model. The record is from RNAcentral.